CCAACGUGGAUACCCCGGGAGGUCACUCUCCCCGGGCUCUGUCCAGGUGGCAUAGGGGAGCAUAGGGCUCUGCCCCGUGAUGUACAGUCCCUUUCCAUGACGUUGGAGAAGAAGCUGGGCCUUGUGUCUGCGCCUGCAUAUUCCUACAACUUCUCAGAGUCCUUUGGGCAGUGACUGAGGAGAUAAACCAUGCAGGAAACAAUG
Small nucleolar RNA from Cavia aperea (Brazilian guinea pig), 204 nucleotides. Its record names the gene SNORA73. It matches the Rfam family "Small nucleolar RNA SNORA73 family". Rfam says of the family: U17 (SNORA73A and SNORA73B) also known as E1 belongs to the H/ACA class of small nucleolar RNAs (snoRNAs). Lineage: Eukaryota; Metazoa; Chordata; Mammalia; Rodentia; Caviidae. The record is from Ensembl.